UAAGCAAGAUUCACUGUUGUGCCUCAGCUCAUCUCAGUACAGCUGGCAGGAAGGUAACGGUAUAUAGAUUCAACAGUAA
This 79-nucleotide long non-coding RNA is filed under the name Cairina moschata (Muscovy duck). RNAcentral describes it as "domestica (muscovy Duck (domestic type)) lncRNA (ENSCMMG00000000995.1)". Lineage: Eukaryota; Metazoa; Chordata; Aves; Anseriformes; Anatidae. The record is from RNAcentral.